GACCUGAUGCCUUCAUUUAUCCGCCAUGGUCCGACCAUUCCAAGACGAACCGACCUCUGCCUCCCAGAUUCUGGUCCUUCUGCUUACCCAGUGGGUGGAGAUGGAGCCGUUUCCAGAAACCAGAGCUUCCUCCGGACUCCUGUGCAGAGGCCUCCCCAUGAGAUUGUGAGGCGGGAGAGCAACAGGCUCUCUGCUCCAUCCUAUCUUGCCAGGAGUUUGGCUGACGUCCCCCAAGAAUACGGUUUAUCAUCGCAGUCCUUUUUAACAGAGGCCAACUCGGGCACUGAGAAUGGAGAUGCUGGACCUCGUUACUAUUAUGACCACUUCUACAAUGGCCAAAGGAGACACCAGUUGGGGGAUCACGCGCAAGAGGAAUAUAGAUACUAUGAACAUAACAGUGACCUCAUCCAUAGGAUGUCUCAGAAUCAGGGAAGACACGGUUCAGGCAUUGGAAGGAUAGCUGCUACGUCGUUAGGAAACUUAACAAACCACAGUUCAGAAGACUUACCACUGCCUCCCGGCUGGUCCGUAGACUGGACCCUGAGAGGAAGAAAGUACUACAUAGACCAUAACACGAACACAACGCACUGGAGCCAUCCGCUCGAGCGAGAGGGUCUACCCCCAGGAUGGGAACGCGUGGAGUCAGCCGAGUUUGGAGUGUACUACGUCGACCACAUCAAUAAAAGAGCGCAGUACAAGCACCCUUGUGCUCCCAGUGUUCCUCGUUACGACCAGCCGCCUCCUGUGACGUAUCAGCCGCGACAAGUUGAGAGAAGUCAGACGAUUCUGGUUCCUGCAAAUCCAUACCACACCGCAGAGAUCCCUGACUGGCUGCAGGUUUAUGCCCGGGCGCCUGUGAAGUAUGACCACAUCUUAAAGUGGGAGCUCUUCCAGUUGGCGGACCUGGAUACCUACCAAGGGAUGCUCAAGCUGCUUUUCAUGAAGGAACUGGAGCGGAUCGUGAAGACCUACGAAGCGUAUAGGCAAGCCCUCCUCACAGAGCUGGAAAAUCGAAAGCAGAGGAAACAGUGGUAUGCCCAGCAGCACGGGAAGAAUUUCUGAGUUGGUGGUCUUCCGCUGGGGACUUUUCAAGGAACUUCACACUUUUUUCUUCUUUUUUUAAAGAAAAACAUGCUUUGGUUUAAAAGGCAGCUUCUUUUUUCAAUGGAUCUUGGCACCUUUUGUAAUUCCCACUUUUGUGUAUCAUGUUUAUUGAAUACAAAAACAUGUUUGUUAUAUUGUAUAAAAGUUAGUUUCUAAUUUGGAGAGCCCGUGUGGACGUGGAAGAGAAGAAAAAUUAUUUGGGCUGGGGAGUGUUUUUCUUUUCUACCAACCCACUGUGCUGGGGAGAAGCAGCGUUUUGUUUUCCAGAUGACAAAAAUGGUCCUUGUGAGCAUGGCCCUGGCCGCACAGCAGCAUCCUUUAAGAAGCCCUCAUGCCCCUAAUGUAGGGUCCUGCAGAUCUUUUUCAGAAUGAAGGACUAUUGAUACCUCUUUGUCCAAGGAGAACUAAGACUAAGAGUGUACUACGUGUAUGCUUUUCUCAAAGCUAGAUGUAAAUACUUCCUGGAGAAGCAGCUGUGCUCCUGGAAGCAGCUGGAUGGGGUGGAAUUUCCAAAACAAAGUGUUGUAAUCAAGGCAUGAGCUGAGAAGGAACUAGUUUGGUCAACCCAAGGAUUGUGAGCCUUUUCUCGAACCUCAGCCCGCCCUCUGCCACAUAUGCUCAGCUCUUCACAAAAUCGAGAAGAUUCAAUAGCAGCUUGUAACAGCCCUGAAAACAACAGACCCUUAUCGCCACUUCCCCGUGCCUUUUGAACAGCCUCAGUGCCGUUUGUGGGGCUAUCGUGGCAGCUGUUGAGCGGAGGAGCGCAACCGGAGAGCUGCCAGCAGCAAAGGACGGCUGGAUCCUGCCCAUAGUAUAGAGGUGGGCAGGAAUUUUUUAUGGGCGCAACUGGAAAGGAAUAAAAGAGAGAAGAGCUAAUUGUCUUAGGAACCAAACUUUUAAUUGACAAUAAAAUAAUAAAAACUA
Pogona vitticeps (central bearded dragon) is the source of this 2028-nucleotide non-coding RNA. NCBI's taxonomy places the organism in Eukaryota, Metazoa, Chordata, Lepidosauria, Squamata, Agamidae. The record is from RefSeq and is a predicted model, not a curated record.